RNAcentral lists this long non-coding RNA (361 nucleotides) under Brassica napus (rape). RNAcentral describes it as "long non-coding RNA (BNAP_LNC021201)". Lineage: Eukaryota; Viridiplantae; Streptophyta; Magnoliopsida; Brassicales; Brassicaceae. The record is from RNAcentral.
CGGAUCACCCUUGUGUUAGAUCGGCUCCUUCUCUCUUGCUUGGGAACGUACAGCCUUUGUUAGCUUAGGCUUGUAUCAUUUCUGGUAUCAGAGCUGAAGUUCCUUCAGCAUCAGGUUAUAUCUAUCCUUGUCUCUUCUAUUUGCAUCCGAUUUGUGAUUCAUUGUUUCUGCUUUCAUGAAAUCAUAAAACCAAAUAAAGAGAUCGCGUUUCAUUGUUGCACUUAGUUGUUUUCUUCACAUCUUGCUUGCAUCCGAUUGUUACAUCCUGUUCUGCUUAGUUUUAAUCUUCAUCAAGUCAAAAAAAAAAAUAAAAACGUGUUGCUAGGAUUGCAUAAUUCGGUUUCCAUUUUUGCAAAGAGUU